This 347-nucleotide ribosomal RNA is filed under the name Neolithodes duhameli. RNAcentral describes it as "partial 16S ribosomal RNA". The stretch from base 37 to 347 matches the Rfam family "Bacterial large subunit ribosomal RNA", at positions 2048 to 2556 of the family's 2925-position model. Lineage: Eukaryota; Metazoa; Arthropoda; Malacostraca; Decapoda; Lithodidae. The record is from RNAcentral.
UAUCAUCUGUUUCUUAAAUAUUUAUUGAAUUUGACUUUUAAGUGAAAAGGCUUAAAUAAAACAAAAAGACGAUAAGACCCUAUAAAUCUUUACAAUAAAUAUAUUUUAUAUUUUAGCUUAUAAGUGUAUAAGAAAUAAAAAUAUAGGUUUGUUGCGCUGGGGCGGCGUAGAUAUAUAAAUAAACUGUCUAUAAUUUAAAUACAAUAAUUAUUGCUUAAUACAAAUUGAUCCUUAAAUAGAUUAAAAGAUUAAGAUACUUUAGGGAUAACAGCGUUAUUUUUUUUGAGAGUUCUUAUCGAAGAAAAAGUUUGCGACCUCGAUGUUGAAUUAAAGUGUCUCUAUGGUGU